AGACAAUAUGAAGGUCAGGCUGAAGACCUUACCCGAUUAGCUGAGAGGUGGUGCAUGGCCGUCGUCAGUUCGUACUGUGAAGCAUCCUGUUAAGUCAGGCAACGAGCGAGACCCACGUCCACAGUUGCCAGCAUACCCUCCGGGGUGAUGGGUACACUGUGGAGACCGCCGCUGCUAAAGCGGAGGAAGGAGUGGGCAACGGUAGGUCAGUAUGCCCCGAAUCUCCCGGGCUACACGCGGGCUACAAUGGUUGGUACAAUGGGCAUCUACCCCGAAAGGGGAAGGAAAUCUCUUAAAGCCAAUCGUAGUUCGGAUUGAGGGCUGCAACUCGCCCUCAUGAAGCUGGAAUCCGUAGUAAUCGCGUUUCAACAGAACGCGGUGAAUACGUCCCUGCUCCUU
This 399-nucleotide ribosomal RNA is filed under the name uncultured Methanosaeta sp. RNAcentral's name for it is "bacterial SSU rRNA". It matches the Rfam family "Archaeal small subunit ribosomal RNA", at positions 941 to 1338 of the family's 1478-position model. The record is from RNAcentral. Lineage: Archaea; Methanobacteriati; Methanobacteriota; Methanomicrobia; Methanotrichales; Methanotrichaceae.